RNAcentral lists this ribosomal RNA (493 nucleotides) under Lepas sp. eL26c09_05. Its description in RNAcentral is "partial 16S ribosomal RNA". It matches the Rfam family "Bacterial large subunit ribosomal RNA", at positions 1841 to 2597 of the family's 2925-position model. Lineage: Eukaryota; Metazoa; Arthropoda; Thecostraca; Lepadidae. The record is from RNAcentral.
UUUAUUAAGAGGUAGGGCCUGCUCACUGAUGUAUUUAAGAGCCGCGGUAUAUUGACUGUGCUAAGGUAGCAUAAUAAUUUGUCUUUUAAUUGAAGACUAGAAUGAAUGGUUUAACGAGAAAUUAACUUUUUUGAAAGUAACAUUUUGAAUUUAAUUUUUUAGUGAAAAAGCUAAAAUAGAAUAAAAAGACGAGAAGACCCUAUAGAGCUUUAUAUUUGAAUUAUUUGUUUUUAAAUAAUUUUGGUAAUCGCAAAUAAGUAAAUUAUUUUGUUGGGGCGACAUUUAGAUAAGAAAAACUUUUUAUUUUUAAAAUUUUAAUUGAAAAAUUUUUGAUCCUUAAAAAAGAUUAAAAGAAUAAGUUACCUUAGGGAUAACAGCGUAAUCUUUCUUGAGAGUUCUAAUCGACAGAAAGGUUUGCGACCUCGAUGUUGGACUAAAAUUAAAUUAAGGAGCAGUAUCCUUAGAUUUAGGUCUGUUCGACCUAUAGACUUUU